UUCUAUAUAUAGCAACUGUCAAGGAUGAACAGACCAAAGUUCCCCUUCCCAUGGUCGAGCUAUGUCUGCGUAGAAUGCGGCAUGCCAGUUUCGAGCCUAUACUCCCACGUCGGCUCUAAGCAGGACAUUCAGCUCACAAUAUGCGAACACUGUCACAACUUCGCCGAUAAAUACGUCGAGUUCGACAACGUCCUCAUCAUUCUGGAUCUCCUCUUACACAAAAUAAGUGUGUGUAGACACAUGGUCUUCAACCUGUCAGUAAGCCGCCAUCACCGGAUUCCAUAUGUCAAGGUGAUCCUGCUGUCUCUACUGCUCAUAGCAUAUACAAGGCUGUACUAUUUAGAUCUUGAUGACCCUCUGCAAUCCAACUCCAGAAACCUGUUUACCUUCUGGAUCGUGCUGCUAGAAUACAUCGUAUCAACUGUGAUUUUGACGCUUUUCUGCAUGCUGUACUUCAGAACAUACAAGUUCCGAGAGGUCUUCGCGGAAGUCACUGUCGUUUUGUCGGUGACGCCAUUUCCGAGUCUGGUCCUGUUGUUCGCGAUCAUCUGGAAGUACCAGCUUCACUUUUUGCUAUGCACACAGCUUUUUACUUUGAGCUCGCAAUACUUAGUGCUAAAAACCUACCUCAAAAGCAGUGCCAGCACCGCCUUUUUAGGCAUCCUCAUGUCCGCCCUCUCGGUUGUCUUUAUAGACAUCGCGCUUUCUAGGUCCGGCUAUCGAAUCGUGUCUCUUCUAGUGCCGGCUAGCUGGGAUUGAACCGCAUUUUCCAAUCGCUGCGCCACUGCAUAUGGCGCGUCGCCUUAACACAUACAAAACACCUCGGAAGGCUCAAUACUGUUUGAAUGUCUUUUGGGGCUUCCGCGCACUCUGCUAAUUGGAGAGAAUCCCUAGAGAAAGAUGCAUACGAUGUCGUGUUUUCUGGGCUCUGCGAAAAAAUGCUCUCAUUUAAAAACAAAUGGCUAGAGUUCAAGACCUGCAUCGUAACUCAAACAAGCCCCAAUUUUGUGAAUCCAAUAGCGGAAUGCGAAUCCAAAGUCCCGGACAAACAGGACGAGAAAUCUGAAGACGAGGAAAACCGCAGCCCCGCGAACACCCCUGAUAAGUGUCAAAGCUGUCGACCCGCUUCUAGGUCUUCGGUCGAUGCAGAUGUCAUUGACAUUCAUCCCGCUUUUGAUAACUAUGUCUCAUUCAUGAAGGUGGAGCUCUACGAACUGCAGUCCUUGCUACUAUCGGUGCAGUCGUACCUGAUGCUGUCAUUACCCCCGAAAAGAAGUACCGUCACCUUCAAAACUUCUGUUCAAUUGAAGAUUCUGUCCGAAAUCAAGGUGGCUAUAGUGGCCUGUCAAAACUUGUUCGAAGUACUGUACGAGUUGGCAGAAUCAAGAGCUGCGUUGAUCGAGAAGGGAAAGAAAAAGCCCUCGGUCACUGAAGAGAUGAGCCAAGCGUUGUACGAAUUUGACACCAAUGUAUCUGUCAAUUUGACAAGACGGUUCAACGAAAUGCAAUGUGUGCUGAUCGCAUUACAGGACAUGUUUAUUAAAAAUUCAGAGCAACUUUUCUCGAAGUUGGGCCUUGCUAAGCCUGGUUGGAUUGUGUAGUUCGAAAGUUGUCAGGUGCCAAAAGGACGAGCCGAAGCGAGUUUUAGAGCAACGAAGCGCUUGACACAUGCGGUUAAAAAAUGUCGGAGAUGGUGAAUGGAGCGAGAUAAAAAAGGGCACUUGAGAUGUGUGCUUUUGUGUCAUACACAUAUUUUUGUGUUAUCUAUUGUCCGUGAGUUCGAGACAGUCUUUAAUUGUCCACAGGCGGCGCUGAUGUCUUGUCCGCGAGACCAGCGUAUUGUCACUGGUAUGUUGUUUUCUUGGACGAUUCGCGCGAAUUCGAGGAUGACGGCUCGAUCAGAGGGCUCGUAAUGCGUCCCUGGCCACGGAUUGAAUGGGAUUAGGUUUACGAGGGCGACCUGGUCUUUUAACAGACGAGAAAGAGUGCGUGCUUCUUGGGCGGAGUCGUUGACAUUCUUAAGCAUCACGUAUUCGAAUGUAAUUCUUCUUGUGCUGGACAGUUUUGUGUAAGCUUUGCAGGCAUUUAGAAGUUCACUGAUGGGCCACUGGCGAUUGACGGGCACUAGUUGAGAGCGCAGUUCGUCCGUCACGGCGUGCAGAGAGAUGGCCAGACUUAUGCCGGGGAAGUCUCGGCCGAGUCGUAGGAUAUUUGGUACAACGCCCGAUGUGGAGACGACGAUGCGCCUUUUUGAGAUGGAUAGACCAGAGGGGUCUGUGAUGAUGGAAAUGGCUUUUUUGAGCUGGGAGUAGUUGUAGAAGGGCUCUCCCUGGCCCAUGAAGACGAUAUUCGUGACGAGUCGGAGCGGGCGUUGCGGAAAAUCGAAUAAGAGGCGCUUAGCAAGCAAAAGUUGUCCGACAAUUUCAGCUGAAGAAAGGUUCCGCAAAAGAGGUUGAGUGCCUGUGUGACAAAAGGCGCACUUCAUAGAACAGCCGAUCUGGGAAGACAGGCAGAUUGUGCCACGAUGAGUCUCUGGAAUAAAGACGGCUGAGAAAGUA
Schistocerca gregaria is the source of this 2558-nucleotide RNA transcript. It is a transcript of the gene named protein arv1 homolog, with no coding region annotated. NCBI's taxonomy places the organism in Eukaryota, Metazoa, Arthropoda, Insecta, Orthoptera, Acrididae. The transcript has 7 exons. The record is from RefSeq and is a predicted model, not a curated record.